Molecule: ribosomal RNA, 398 nt
Filed under: uncultured bacterium
Lineage: Bacteria
Description: bacterial SSU rRNA
Rfam family: Bacterial small subunit ribosomal RNA
Source: RNAcentral
AUUUUCCACAAUGGGCGAAAGCCUGAUGGAGCAACGCCGCGUGCAGGAUGAAUGCCUUCGGGUUGUAAACUGCUUUUAUAUGUGACGAAUAUGACGGUAGCAUAUGAAUAAGGAUCGGCUAACUCCGUGCCAGCAGCCGCGGUAAUACGGAGGGAGCGAGCGUUGUUCGGAAUUACUGGGCGUAAAGCGUAUGUAGGCGGCUUUGUAAGACAGGCGUGAAAUCCCGGGGCUUAACCUCGGAACUGCGUUUGUGACUGCAAGGCUUGAGGAUCGGAGAGGUUGGCGGAAUUCCUAGUGUAGAGGUGAAAUUCGCAGAUAUUAGGAGGAACACCGAUGGCGUAAGCAGCCAACUGGACGAUUACUGACGCUGAGAUACGAAAGCGUGGGGAGCAAACAGG